Helianthus annuus (common sunflower) is the source of this 227-nucleotide long non-coding RNA. RefSeq lists it as uncharacterized. The transcript is spliced from 3 exons. NCBI's taxonomy places the organism in Eukaryota, Viridiplantae, Streptophyta, Magnoliopsida, Asterales, Asteraceae. The record is from RefSeq and is a predicted model, not a curated record.
AGCCAAUGUCGUAGGGGACUAACAAGAGAGGGCGGUUACUUCAUUUGCAAAGCGUGCAAAUCGAAGGUUGACUAUCCAAGGACGAGGUUUCGGAUUCAAGCGGAUGUAACUGAUGGAACGAUGAGCACCGUUGUCACCCUCUUUGAUGAGGUUGCUGAGCAGUUGGUCAAGAGGACCGCAAAAUCCUUAGUAGAAGAGCAGCUAAAUGAUACUUCUCUAGAUGCUCC